RNAcentral lists this ribosomal RNA (468 nucleotides) under uncultured bacterium. RNAcentral's name for it is "partial 16S ribosomal RNA". It matches the Rfam family "Bacterial small subunit ribosomal RNA", at positions 28 to 507 of the family's 1533-position model. The record is from RNAcentral.
GACGAACGCUGGCGGCGUGCUUAACACAUGCAAGUCGAACGGAAAGGCCCUGCUUUUGUGGGGUGCUCGAGUGGCGAACGGGUGAGUAACACGUGAGUAACCUGCCCUUGACUUUGGGAUAACUUCAGGAAACUGGGGCUAAUACCGGAUAGGAGCUCCUGCUGCAUGGUGGGGGUUGGAAAGUUUCGGCGGUUGGGGAUGGACUCGCGGCUUAUCAGCUUGUUGGUGGGGUAGUGGCUUACCAAGGCUUUGACGGGUAGCCGGCCUGAGAGGGUGACCGGCCACAUUGGGACUGAGAUACGGCCCAGACUCCUACGGGAGGCAGCAGUGGGGAAUAUUGCACAAUGGGCGGAAGCCUGAUGCAGCAACGCCGCGUGCGGGAUGACGGCCUUCGGGUUGUAAACCGCUUUCGCCUGUGACGAAGCGUGAGUGGCGGUAAUGGGUAAAGAAGCACCGGCUAACUACGCG